GGCUUGAACCUUAGUACGGAUUUAUCAGGUUUACUUCAGGGGCGCUGAUGCAUGGCCGUUCUUAGUUGGUGGAGCGAUUUGUCUGGUUCAUUCCGAUAGAGAACGAGACUCAAGUCUGCUAAACAGUACGCUGAUACAUCUUCGUCGGUGCUGACUUCUUAGAGGGACAAGCGGCUUGAAGACUCUCUUAUGCAACAAAGUGAAGCAAAAAAGCACAGCCGUCAAGCGUGUCUCUUGGUUGCGCGCAAUACUUGGUGUUGUGGCGCCCCAAUAUCC
Molecule: non-coding RNA, 276 nt
Organism: Macrostomum lignano
Lineage: Eukaryota; Metazoa; Platyhelminthes; Macrostomidae
Source: Rfam